UGGGGAAUUUUGGACAAUGGGCGAAAGCCUGAUCCAGCAAUGCCGCGUGUGUGAAGAAGGCCUUCGGGUUGUAAAGCACUUUUGUCCGGAAAGAAAUCCUUGGCUCUAAUACAGUCGGGGGAUACGGUACCGGAAGAAUAAGCACCGGCUAACUACGUGCCAGCAGCCGCGGUAAUACGUAGGGUGCAAGCGUUAAUCGGAAUUACUGGGCGUAAGCGUGCGCAGGCGGUUUGCUAAGACCGAUGUGAAAUCCCCGGGCUCAACCUGGGAACUGCAUUGGUGACUGGCAGGCUAGAGUAUGGCAGAGGGGGGUAGAAUUCCACGUGUGAGCAGUGAAAUGCGUAGAGAUGUGGAGGAAUACCGAUGGCGAAGGCAGCCCCCUGGGCCAAUACUGACGCUCAUGCACGAAAGCGUGGGGAGCAAACAGGAUUNGAUACCCUGGUAGUCCACGCCCUAAACGAUGUC
This 465-nucleotide ribosomal RNA is filed under the name uncultured bacterium. Its description in RNAcentral is "partial 16S ribosomal RNA". It matches the Rfam family "Bacterial small subunit ribosomal RNA", at positions 355 to 813 of the family's 1533-position model. The record is from RNAcentral.